Carassius gibelio (silver crucian carp) is the source of this 3412-nucleotide long non-coding RNA. RefSeq lists it as uncharacterized. The transcript has 2 exons. The record is from RefSeq and is a predicted model, not a curated record. NCBI's taxonomy places the organism in Eukaryota, Metazoa, Chordata, Actinopteri, Cypriniformes, Cyprinidae.
AUGGAAGCUUUAGCCUAAGUUCUGCCAGGAAGACUCAAUCACUUCGUCACUAAUUACCUUCAUCAUUAUCCAAUCACGUCUUUAUACUCCUGUAUAAAAGAUCGUACUUACACAUGUUUGAGUUCGCAGAUGCCAACGCGACAACAACCGCAGAUUCCGACGCGAUUGUACUUGCUCAAGCUGUUGUGUUUAUUCAUCUACUUGCUGUAAUUAAGUUCGUGCCCCGCAAACUAUCUAGAGUUCGACGUUCCUCUAAGAUGCACACGGGAUCGUUGGCUUAGCUCUGUGUCGCGGUGAUUAUCUGCAGUCGUUUGUGUUGGAUGAUUUACAAGCUUUUCUCGGCAGAGGAUGUGAACAUUGGCGGAGUUCCGUGUGCUUCCAGGCCAGGGUUGCCAGGUUCUCAAAACCACCAGUUACUACUAUAAUUAAAAAAAAAAAAAAAUAGCCCAAUCGCGUUCAAAAGGGAUUUAUCGGUAUAAUUCACAUUCUAGGGGCUAUAUAUAACACUAUUGGGGUCACCUCAAACCCAGGACAGAAAAGGCAACCCACAAAAAAAAAAAAAAAAAAAAAAUACGGUCUUGGCAACGCUGGUGCUUUCCGAGAUGUCGCGUCAGUGCUGCUUGGGUCUCAACACCUGAAAAGACUUUGGUCUCAAUCAACAAAUAUUCAUCUGUACGCUCACGUGAACCUGCAGGAAUGAAGUUUCUCCGGACCAGCAGACAGAAUUAAGGCUGCCAGUCUCUUCGGCAUCUCGCCUCCAUCACUUCACAAGUCUACAGCAUUAUAAGUAUCAUUUUGUUCUAUGCACUUGCGGCGCCUGGGCAUUAAUUUAUUCUCUGCAAGGAUUUAUACUUGCACGUUCAAAUAAAACACUGGGUGUUUCGUGCUUGUUUAUUGACUUGCACAGCAUAAUUAAGAUGUUGAUCAUAGUGCAUGCAAUUUUCUGAAUUUCUUCGUAAUGAGGCACUUAAGGCUCAUCAUAAACGCUACAAUCUUUAUACUGAUAAAGAUUUUUCGCAUUUCAAAAAAAAAAAAAAAAAAAAAAAAAAGCUCUGUCUAGCACACUUGUGAUUCGCUGUUUUAAUCCUAUGCUUUAAUAUUUGUUUAUUCAGUCUUUCAUUUGCGUUAUUCCUGAAAGUUCAUACUCUAAUGGGAUUCUAUGGUUGCAGAUGCAGGGAACCGCUGCUCUCACCUCAUCUUUACAUGGCUUACUCUUGAGCUAGCGAAUUAUGAACACUGGAUCUACCAAGCUGAUGCGUUUAUGGACCCUUCUUUUGAGUCGUAGGUAAGAUUCGGCUCAAUGCUCAGUCAGCAGGCAUAUAUUACUCCACGUGACACGAGUUGCUGCUGACCUUAUUUCAGAGUAGUGACAUAUCUCCAGUUUAAACCGAAUAUUAAUUAGCAGGCAUGGUUUGUUUGCACUCCUGGUCUCCGUCUCAAGGCGCGGUCGCAUUAGACUUUAAACAUGCGAAAUUAUUUCUAACGCCACUGCGAAUAUGGGCGGGAGCAAGAUAAAACCGUCUCCCCUCAAUUAUCACAAGAUGGAUUAUUACAUGUUUGCUAGCACUGUGUCUUUUGCAACGGCGUCGAAAGCGUUUUAUUAUAUUGUAACGUUACUCCGUAUCUCUCUAUAAAUAUAUACACCCUAAGGGGAGGAGGGGGAGAAGAAAGAAAAAAAAAAAAAAAAAAAAAAAAUUGGGGAGUGACAGUUAAGGGCUUAAGCUACAAUCAAGGCAUGUUUAUAUUCGCGCAUCUACUGGUGUUGGUUCAUCACUCUUACUCGGCUGUUGCGGCUUUCACUUUACACUUUUAAACUUUCAGACAGCUGUGCCCUCAGCCAACCCGGAUUCUUCAGUCUGCCCUCCGUUAGCAGACAUAAUACUAACGAAGUGCUUACGUCAGCUGGAAAUCACAUUUCUAAGGCGUCGCUCCCUCUACAAUCAAGCCUACACGUUUGCAUGGUCCGCUUCUAAUGUUUUUCCUUCCAAUUUUUGCGUUCCUAUUCUAAUUUCGACCGUUGCUCCUUUCUUGUCAAAAAAAAAAAAAAAAAAAUCGCAAUCUUAAUUUCUCUAUUCGCAGACUCCUUGCCAGCAUCUAAUCCACGCUAAAUUUUAUAAUCAAAUUUUCAAGCCUUUUGGUUAUUCAGUUCUAUUACUACUUGAGGGGUUAGCUAAAUCUUCCAACAAAUUAAAGACAAAUGUCUGCCUAUUACCCUGCCCAUAUUGCAAAAUGAAUUACUUCCAUCUGCUACGGCCUUCCUUCAAAGUACCUCAAUAUUCUUCUGGAGGCAGUGUUUAUCUGCUUUCUACAGGUUAUGCUUCCAGGGGAAUUCACUUCAAACCAAUCAAUUUGAUCCUGCUCGCGGCAUUUCCUUCAGAUCUAUGAUUCGGACCAAAAAUUCUUCACACUCUCCUCAAGCACUCAAAAACCGAUGUGCAAGGUUCUGGAGUCACCUUAACAAUUCUAAAAUCAAUAAUCCUGUCCCUUCUCUGCAUGGUGAAAUUUCUUAAAAAUCCGACCUAGAAUUUCUAAAACGCACCAGCUCUUUUUUUCCUAACGGAGCCCCCUUUCCAAGGCUGUUUAGAACUCACUUAACCACUGUUCUCAAAGCUGCAGUCUAUCUACUGGCCAUUCAUUCAGAAUUGGGGCAGCUACUUCAGCAGCUGAAUGAGGGAUCUCUACAUCAGCUGUUAAGAUCAUGGGCAGAUGGUCUUCCUAAGCAUUUGAAUCAUACAUCAGACCUGAUUCAAAACCAUUAUUGAAGCUCAGCAAGCUCUCCUGUAACUAAUCAGGAACCUUAGGAUUCACAACUGGUGGGUAUACUUCAUCUACUUUUUUUUGGGGGGAAGGCCGGCCCCGUCUGGAGGUCUCAUAAUCCACCUAAUUUUGGGGGUCUGCUGCGCCCCUGCCUUCGUCUUCAGGCAGGAAAUGCAGAUUCGCUACCCUCGGAUUACGAACCAUGGACGGGGCCUUCCGCCAAAGAAAUUUAUAAUUGUGCUCGCUGAGCUGUCAAUAAAUGUAUGCUUCGUACAUUCCUCUAUCUCCCGAGUCUUUCUGGUAGAAAUGGAAGCUUUAGCCUAAGUUCUGCCAGGAAGACUCAAUCACUUCGUCACUAAUUACCUUCAUCAUUAUCCAAUCACGUCUUUAUACUCCUGUAUAAAAGAUCGUACUUACACAUGUUUGAGUUCGCAGAUGCCAACGCGACAACAACCUCCACCCUCCCCACCACCCCCAGGAUGGUCCUGUCCUUACCUUCCAGGGGGGGUCUGCUGCGCCCCUGCCUUCGUCUUCAGGCAGGAAAUGCAGAUUCGCUACCCUCGGAUUACGAACCAUGGACGGGGCCUUCCGCCAAAGAAAUUUAUAAUUGUGCUCGCUGAGCUGUCAAUAAAUGUAUGCUUCGUACAUUCCUCUA